GGAUAAACUAACUAUACUAUCAUUUUAGAUAAAAUAGAUAACUGAACUUUCUAGAAAUAGCCCCAGCAGACUAGUUAUAACAUGUUACGUGCCUAGCCAAAUGUAUUGAGGCUGUAUACAGUAGCCAACGAUUUUUUUAUUCUUAAAUCAUAGACUUUCUUUCUUUUCUCUCUAUUAUUUAGGGGAAAGGCUAACCCACACCGAAUUCUU
This 210-nucleotide long non-coding RNA is filed under the name Actinidia chinensis (golden kiwifruit). Its description in RNAcentral is "long non-coding RNA (ACHI_LNC000521)". Lineage: Eukaryota; Viridiplantae; Streptophyta; Magnoliopsida; Ericales; Actinidiaceae. The record is from RNAcentral.